GGAGGAAGACACCAUUUUAGUUGACACCGAGGUCACUGCCUUCACCAAUGGUCAGCUUCCGCAACAGAAGCUAACAUUCAGGAAAUUGAAUGCCGAUUCCUCGGAUCGGCCUGCUGCUGAGUCUUUUGUAGCUAGCAGCUAAUAUAAUCUUUUCUUUGAGUAACCGACUUGUAUAAGUGUAUGCUUCGAGGUUUGUUGCUGCUGAGUCUUUUGUAGAG
RNAcentral lists this unclassified non-coding RNA (218 nucleotides) under Hevea brasiliensis (rubber tree). The record is from RNAcentral. Lineage: Eukaryota; Viridiplantae; Streptophyta; Magnoliopsida; Malpighiales; Euphorbiaceae.